AUUCAGCUUGCUCCCCGUAGACCGAAGUGGUAAUGCCUGGUGCGGCGUCGUGCCUGUGAAAUCUUCCGGUGUGGGGAUAACGUCUGAAACGGGUGCGCUACCGCCGCAUACGUCCUGGAGGAAGAAAAAUAAAGGGAUCUCGGACCUCACGCCAUCAGACGGUUUUCCAGUGUCGAAGAAGCUGCUGGUGCGGGCAAAGGCCUACCAAGGCGACGAGAAUGAUCCGCAACUGGUUCGGAGAGCAUCAAUGUCAGACACCGGAACCGUGAGCACGGUCCAAGACCCUACGGGAGCGCGUGGCCGACAAUGGGCUUAAGCUCGAUCCGUUGGCCGCCAUGCGUGAAGAAGGCCUCGGAUUGUAAAGCACCUGUUGGGAGGCAGGCGAAGUCAAUACCUGCUGUUUGGACGUUGCCAACAAGAAUAACACCGGCUAACCUCAUUCGCCGCCAGCAGUCGUGGUAUGAAGGUGCGCCGUUAAUCGGAAUUACCGGGCGUAUAUUCGUAGUGGUGACCUGCUGGAUGAAAAUCGGGCCCGUCCUGAACUGCAUCCAAAAAUUUCGCUGAGCAAGCCAGUGAUACGAGGCGUGGUGCAGGAAUUUCCUGUAGCGGUGAAAUGCGUAGAUAUAGAAGAACACCAGUGGCGAAGGCGACCACCUGGACUGAUACUGACACUGAGGUGCGAAAGCGUGGUGGGAGCAAACAGGAUUAGAUACCCUGGUAGUCCACGCCGUAAACGAUGUCGACUAGCCGUUGGGAUCCUUGAGAUCUUAGUGGCGCAGCUAACGCGAUAAGUCGACCGCCUGGGAGUACGGCCGCAAGGUUAAAACUCAAAUGAAUUGACGGGGCCGCGCGAGCAAGGUGGUUUAAUUCGAAGCAACGCGAAGAACCUUACCUGGCCUUGACAUGCUGAGAACUUUCCAGAGAUGGAUUGGUGCCUUCGGGAACUCAGACACAGGUGCUGCAUGGCUGUCGUCAGCUCGUGUCGUGAGAUGUUGGGUUAAGUCCGUAACGAGCGCAACCCUUGUCCUUAGUUACCAGCACCUCGGGUGGGCACUCUAAGGAGACUGCCGGUGACAAACCGGAGGAAGGUGGGGAUGACGUCAAGUCAUCAUGGCCCUACGGCCAGGGCUACGUGCUACAAUGGUCGGUACAAAGAAGGUUGCCAAGCCGCGAGGUGGAGCUAAUCCCAUAAAACCGAUCGUAGUCCGGAUCGCAGUCUGCAACUCGACUGCGUGAAGUCGGAAUCGCUAGUAAUCGUGAAUCAGAAUGUCACGAAUACGUUCCCGGGCCUUGUACACACCGA
RNAcentral lists this ribosomal RNA (1303 nucleotides) under metagenome. RNAcentral's name for it is "bacterial SSU rRNA". It matches the Rfam family "Bacterial small subunit ribosomal RNA", at positions 66 to 1393 of the family's 1533-position model. The record is from RNAcentral.